Manis pentadactyla (Chinese pangolin) is the source of this 2631-nucleotide long non-coding RNA. RefSeq lists it as uncharacterized. The record is from RefSeq and is a predicted model, not a curated record. The transcript has 3 exons. Lineage: Eukaryota; Metazoa; Chordata; Mammalia; Pholidota; Manidae.
GGCGGGGCGCGGGGCCGCGAGCCUCCUCCCCUCGGCCAAUCAGCAGCUUCGGCAGCCCCUGGGAGGGCGCACUUUCUUCCCUGCACCCGGCGGGGAGGACGACGGCAGCGGCGUGUCCUCAACUGCAGGCGGACUCCUCAGGAGCCGCGGCGCGGCCCUGGCACUGGCUGCGGCGACGCCGAAGGCGUUCUGAGGAAAUCUCCCUGCUUACAACGUCGCCGCCGCCGCGCUCCUGGAGGCCCGCCGCUGCCUGAUAACGGGCCGCUCUGCUGCACCGUGGCGCCCAAGAGCCCGACAAAGUUGAGCGCAGGCCGGUGGCGCGGGUGGUGGCCGCUCCGGACGCUCCAGCUGCACUUGCUCCAGGCGCUGGUUCAAGACGGAAGCCGUCCCUGGCACACAACAUCGGGCGCUCGUCAGCCACUUAAAUGGGACUAGCCCGGCUGCCGAUCUCAAAGUCUCGAGCGCCAGGUUCCCCUGCGUCUCCCUCAGUGGAUCCCCCGUCUCCCUUGGGAGCCGGGAAAGUCACCUGAGUGGAGGCCAGGAUUCCCCUUCAGAGGCAUCUCCUUGGACGCCAGGGACUGAGGAAGGCCGUGGGCACCUGCGAGAGUCUAGGCUGAGGAUGUGCUUCAGCGGCUUCUCAAAGGCCCGCGUGUCUGGAAUCAGACCCCGACUGCCCGACUGGGUAUCCAUGAGGCGUGUCCCUCUUUCUGUCUCUCUGACUUCCAGCCUGCUUCUCCAGGCCACCCUGGCCUCUGAGUGAGGCAGGGGGCGUUCCUAACUCUCUUCUAACUUCAUCGAUUUCCCGGAAGCCGAUGCCAACCACCACAAGAAGCCACAAAACUGCAAAUAGUAAUAGAAAUGAAACCCAGAAUAGAAGUGCCAACCUUCCAAGGCCCUCUCAACUGACCAGUGAUGGAGACCUAGCUGCACCCCCUACUGCGCCCCCUCUCAGCAUGAAGCAGCCAGAGCGGUCUUCGCCCCUUUUCCCUAGCAGCAGCUACAGUCUCCAUCUGUAGAGGGGGAAUGAGACAGGGACCAAAGGCUUAGAAUAAGGUGAGAGCCUCUGGAGAAAGUAAGGCAGGAUUCUUUAGCAAAUAGACAAUACCUCAGCCCACCUUGGGAGCUGAGCAGGCAGCCUUUUGAUAUGCUCCCAGACCAAGACGCCGGUAUCCCAGAGAAAAAUCAAGGCAGGAAAUUCCUUAUGUUAAGUUAAUUUUUAAUAUUCAGAGAACACUUAACAAGUCCUUCCCCAAGGCUUUAGGGAUAGUCCCCACCUUUUUGGACAGGCUCUAGCACAAGACCUCAAAUCCCUUACUCUCUCGAGCUCCACCCUCCUUCAAUAUGUAGAUGAUCUCCUGUGCAGUCCCUCCCUACAAACCUCACAACAGGAUACUACUCUCCUUUUAAACUUUCAGAACACGGCUAUCCGGUCUCACCCUCCAAAGUUCAGCUGUCUGACGCUCAGGUCACAAAGCUGGGAGUUCAGCUCUCCCUGCGCUACAAGGCCAUUGCCAUAGAUAGGAAAAAACUUCUCCAAACCAUGCCCAUUCCAAACACCAUCCCUAACUCCCAAAUGGCAAGGACCAUACACAGUAAUCCUUUCCACGCCAACUGCAGUUAAACUCCAGGGUCUUCCCCUCUAGAUACACAACUCCCACCAUAAGCCAUUUGUCUCCCCUUAUUCCCCUCCCACCAAAUCUCCCACAGGUUCCUACUCCUCCACCCUGAUGGGACCUCUUACUCUCCACAUUUCGUGCUGCUCAUCUCCACUUCCACUCAUCACUGAAGAAGUUUCUGCCAGCAUGGAGUCCUAAGACCUCCCUUACAACUGCCAUGCGUCAUUGCCUCAGGAUUGUUAACCCUGGUCUCAACACUUAUUCUCUCACCAGACCUAUCUUCCCAACACCAGCCCUUCUCUUUCAGACUGUCCAAAAAAUUGCACCAUCAAGGAUUCCCUUUGCCCUACCAGUUGCUUUUCUGCCUACACAUAGGUCCCCAUCAAUGCUGUAAUUCAGCCACCCUAUGUAAACAUAGCAAUCAGCCCAAAUGCAAAAAAUUUCUAACCAAACCUUUAACCAGCUUAUAUUACAGGAUUAUCAACCCCUCUCCAAAGGUGAUGAUCCUUAUUGAACCUGGAACACACCAUAGCCACUGCAGACCAAGGGCUCAUCUGAGGACCACCCCCCAUCAAUACAAAAAUGAACUUCAUCGCCCCUAAUCGGCAGGAAGCAGUUACUGAAGACUAACCUUCACCUCUUCCCAAAUCCUCUCCCACUUAUAAAACAGAAAAGGGAGGAAUGUAAGAAUAUAGUAAUUUAUCCUCCAUUUGCCCCAUGGUCCCAAGCACAUAAGCUGGUGAGAAUUAUGCCUGGGACUUGCCUGGGCUUACCCCGCCUUAUCUCUAAACAUCCCAACCCUCCCCCAAAGCAACAGGCCUAGCGCAUCUGCCACAAAAAAAGGCACCACACUGCUGCCCCCUCCCUCUCUCUCUCUCUGUCUGUGUCUGUCUGUCUCUCUCUCUUUGUCUCUGUCUCUCUGUCCCCCUGCUCUCCCCUCUCUCUCUCUCUCUCUCUCCCCACCCCACUCUGGGGCAGCCACUCUCUCCUUCAGAUAAUAAAGUCUCUUCGUGGG